RNAcentral lists this ribosomal RNA (484 nucleotides) under uncultured bacterium. Its description in RNAcentral is "partial 16S ribosomal RNA". It matches the Rfam family "Bacterial small subunit ribosomal RNA", at positions 29 to 507 of the family's 1533-position model. The record is from RNAcentral.
AUUGAACGCUGGCGGCAUGCUUUACACAUGCAAGUCGAACGGCAGCGCGGGCUUCGGCCUGGCGGCGAGUGGCGAACGGGUGAGUAAUACAUCGGAACGUGCCCAGUAGUGGGGGAUAGCUCGGCGAAAGCCGGAUUAAUACCGCAUACGACCUGAGGGUGAAAGCGGGGGAUCUUCGGACCUCGCGCUAUUGGAGCGGCCGAUGGCAGAUUAGCUAGUUGGUGGGGUAAAGGCCUACCAAGGCGACGAUCUGUAGCUGGUCUGAGAGGACGACCAGCCACACUGGGACUGAGACACGGCCCAGACUCCUACGGGAGGCAGCAGUGGGGAAUUUUGGACAAUGGGCGAAAGCCUGAUCCAGCACUGCCGCGUGUGUGAUGAAGGCCUUCGGGUUGUAAAGCACUUUUGGCGGGAACGAAAAGGACUGUGCCCAUACCACGGUUCGAUGACGGUACCCGCAGAAUAAGCACCGGCUAACUACGUG